This 200-nucleotide long non-coding RNA is filed under the name Elaeis guineensis (African oil palm). RNAcentral's name for it is "long non-coding RNA (EGUI_LNC077787)". The record is from RNAcentral. Lineage: Eukaryota; Viridiplantae; Streptophyta; Magnoliopsida; Arecales; Arecaceae.
CUUCUGGCCUUUUUGCAGUACCACUUAUAAACCCCUCAAGAUUGUGAGAAUCCAAAAUUAGACGAACAUGUCGCGUCCAACUUAAGUACGUACCCGGCCCAUCCAAUUUGACCGGGUUAGUUUCUAGGGUGAUCUUUGAAAACUCACUACCCGAGAUACGAGAUUCCAUCAUCCUAACCAUUAACUUUUCUAAAUCCUCC